Molecule: long non-coding RNA, 692 nt
Organism: Brachypodium distachyon (stiff brome)
Lineage: Eukaryota; Viridiplantae; Streptophyta; Magnoliopsida; Poales; Poaceae
Exons: 2
Source: RefSeq, a predicted model, not a curated record
CUCACCUCCGUCAGUGUCCACGUACUUUCCCCUCAUUUUCAGGCCGCAUCCCACUAAAGCCCCACGUCACGCUCCCGUCCACUCCCCUUGGCUGCUCCAUCUUUCCUCCAUACCGUCCCCAUCGCCCUGAGAUUCGGCACGCCGGCAAACCCGCCAGCACGAAUUGACAUGUAAGACUUGGAUAUGGGUCGACCUGGUGAUAGAUUAUGUCGACGCCAUGGUGGAGUAUGAAGACCGAUGAACACCCAGCUGGAGCGGAAGACCGAUGAGCUCGCUGGCGUUAGAUUUGAGCUGAACCUGCUGCGCCGCCGGAUGGAGAUUGAGAUUCUUCAGUACGAGUCCAAGGUGGCCAUCCUGGAACGCGGGGCUCACAAGAUGAGGACUUUUCGCUCACUGGUCUCUGUUCUUGUUUUGAUGUUGCUUGUAGCGCCAGUUAAUUGCUCCACGAUUGUCAACUGGGCGCUUUUGGUGACGGUAGGAGCUAUGUACGCAAAUCAGGCUGCUGCAAGACCAAUUCUGUUAGGUUAAUUUGGCUUCCCUUUUUCAAUUCUGUAUGUGGGCGCCCCGCUAAUGGCAAUUGGGGGCGCAGGCUAUGCAAUUCAAGUCACGUGAGUCGCAGGUAAAAUCUGAUUUUUAUUUUUGUCUCUGUCGUAAACUACAGCAUUAAGCACAUCGAAUUUGGGGUCUGAUUA